Molecule: ribosomal RNA, 440 nt
Filed under: uncultured bacterium
Lineage: Bacteria
Description: partial 16S ribosomal RNA
Rfam family: Bacterial small subunit ribosomal RNA
Source: RNAcentral
CCUACGGGAGGCAGCAGUGGGGAAUAUUGCACAAUGGGGGAAACCCUGAUGCAGCGACGCCGCGUGAGUGAAGAAGUAUUUCGGUAUGUAAAGCUCUGUCAGCAGGGAAGAAAAUGCCGGUACCUGACCAAGCAGCCCCUGCUAGCUACUAGCCAGCAGCCGCGGUAAUACGUAGGGGGCAAGCGUUCUCCGGAUUUACUGGGUGUAACGGGAGCGUAGACGGCAGGGCAAGUCUGGAGGGAAAGGCGGGGGCUCAACCCCCGGACUGCUCUGGAAACUGCCAGGCGAGAGUGCAGGAGAGGUAAGUGGAAUUCCAAGUGUAGCGGUGAAAUGCGUAGAGAUUAGGAGGAACACCAGUGGCGAAGGCGGCUUACUGGACUGUAACUGACGUUGAGGCUCGAAAGCGUGGGGAGCAAACAGGAUUAGAUACCCGAGUAGUC